RNAcentral lists this ribosomal RNA (254 nucleotides) under uncultured bacterium. Its description in RNAcentral is "partial small subunit ribosomal RNA". It matches the Rfam family "Bacterial small subunit ribosomal RNA", at positions 26 to 285 of the family's 1533-position model. The record is from RNAcentral.
AGGACGAACGCUGGCGGCGUGCUUAACACAUGCAAGUCGAGCGGAAAGGCCCUUCGGGGGCACUCGAGCGGCGAACGGGUGAGUAACACGUGAGUAACCUGCCCCUAGCUCUGGGAUAGCUCCGGGAAACCGGGAUUAAUACCAGAUACGACCACUUUAGACAUCUGUCGUGGUGGAAAGGAUUCCGGCUAGGGAUGGGCUCGCGGCCUAUCAGCUUGUUGGUGGGGUAACGCCUACCAAGGCGACGACGGGUA